CUCUUCUUCAUUCCAAUGGCUGCCCUCUCUUCUUCUUCUCAAAUUUUGCUUGAUUUGAAGUUUAUGAGUUAGAUGGUGAGGGUUUGGCUUGAGGCAUGGAAUUGGCGUAGAAGUAACACUCUCGCAGGCUAUACUCGCCUAAGUUGCCUUACGGCACCCCGAGGGUUGAGUGGCGGAGUGUUCCUCCUCGGGAUUGUGGCGGCAAUUGUUUCAUCCCGUGGGCCUGCGGGUCGGAGCAUGACAGAUAUCAUUUUAGAUGUGUUCGAUAUCAUUUUAGAUUUCGUAAUAGAUAAAUUAUAUGUGAUUAUGAUUAAUAUUUGACUCAAGCAUGUAAUAUAUGAGAAGUUUUACUUGGUAUAUGUUAAUGACUAUACAUUUUGUAU
Dioscorea cayenensis subsp. rotundata (Guinea yam) is the source of this 383-nucleotide long non-coding RNA. RefSeq lists it as uncharacterized. NCBI's taxonomy places the organism in Eukaryota, Viridiplantae, Streptophyta, Magnoliopsida, Dioscoreales, Dioscoreaceae. The record is from RefSeq and is a predicted model, not a curated record. The transcript is spliced from 3 exons.